GUACCUGUAGCUCAGUUGGAUAGAGCGUCUGGCUACGGACCAGAAGGUCGGGAGUUCGAAUCUCUCCAGGUACGCCA
This 77-nucleotide transfer RNA is filed under the name Lentisphaerae bacterium ADurb.Bin082. RNAcentral's name for it is "tRNA-Arg". It matches the Rfam family "tRNA". Rfam says of the family: Transfer RNA (tRNA) molecules are approximately 80 nucleotides in length. Their secondary structure includes four short double-helical elements and three loops (D, anti-codon, and T loops). RNAcentral also lists the same sequence under 2 other names. Lineage: Bacteria; Pseudomonadati; Lentisphaerota. The record is from RNAcentral.